This 468-nucleotide ribosomal RNA is filed under the name uncultured bacterium. Its description in RNAcentral is "partial 16S ribosomal RNA". It matches the Rfam family "Bacterial small subunit ribosomal RNA", at positions 28 to 507 of the family's 1533-position model. The record is from RNAcentral.
GACGAACGCUGGCGUCGUGCUUAACACAUGCAAGUCGAACGGAAAGGCCCUGCUUUUGUGGGGUGCUCGAGUGGCGAACGGGUGAGUAACACGUGAGUAACCUGCCCUUGACUUUGGGAUAACUUCAGGAAACUGGGGCUAAUACCGGAUAGGAGCUCCUGCUGCAUGGUGGGGGUUGGAAAGUUUCGGCGGUUGGGGAUGGACUCGCGGCUUAUCAGCUUGUUGGUGGGGUAGUGGCUUACCAAGGCUUUGACGGGUAGCCGGCCUGGGAGGGUGACCGGCCACAUUGGGCCUGAGAUACGGCCCAGACUCCUACGGGAGGCAGCAGUGGGGAAUAUUGCACAAUGGGCGGAAGCCUGAUGCAGCAACGCCGCGUGCGGGAUGACGGCCUUCGGGUUGUAAACCGCUUUCGCCUGUGACGAAGCGUGAGUGACGGUAAUGGGUAAAGAAGCACCGGCUAACUACGUG